Molecule: long non-coding RNA, 2214 nt
Filed under: Homo sapiens (human)
Lineage: Eukaryota; Metazoa; Chordata; Mammalia; Primates; Hominidae
Description: non-protein coding lnc-PRDM11-3:7
Source: RNAcentral
GGGGGAUGGGAGGAGGGGAGGAGCAGAGAAAGGAGAGGAGGCGGAGACGGUUAGUCUAGCCUCUCUGUGGGGCCUCUCUGCUGGUACCCAGAUGCUGAGCGCUGAAAUUCUCAUCCGCCACACACAACAUGGCGGCUUCCUGGACCCGCGCCCAAUUUUCGCUUCCGGGAUGGAAGCUACGUCAUUUCCCCCUCUGUUGCCCUAGCGCCCCUUGGAAGCCAAGAAUAUGAGGAAGUCUUCUUCCUUCGCGCCUUCUUCUUCCUUACGCUCCAGGGCAGCCUGACAGAGCCGCUCGAAGGCUCUGCUGGCCGCGGCUAGCCGGUGAGGAGGGUGGGGGGAGGGGCCGUCCCGCGUGUGGGGGAGUCUGAAGGCGACCAACGAGAGGGAGGGCCGGAGCGGGAUGUCCAGUAAAUUGGGGAUGAAAAUCCUCCCAGGAACCCGAUUAUUAAUGGGUUGAGGGAAGUGGCAGGUGCAGCGGUUGCGCAAAGACAAUGAUGCUUAGUAGCCAGGACUUCAUGGCCACAAAAUUUGUGUGUAGAGAGGGCCACAGCAGCCUGAAAACCAUUUUCGUCCCCUUUUAGGUUUACCCAUUCCACUGGACCCAGCCACCACCCACUCCUGCUGUCUGGUAAACUUUCCUCCUGUUUCUGGGGCCAUGUCUGGCAUGAAGAGUUUUUACUGAAUAGUUUUCAUUGAUCGCAGGCCAGUUCUCUCUUCUCACCCCUUUAUUGAAGUGACAGUGAAAAUCUAAGUGAGAAAGCACUGUUACAGGGGCUGAAAAGGCUACAGGAGACCAGAGCCAUUGACUUUUAUUUUUAAAAUGAAGAUCUCUUUUACUUGAAGGAACUUAAGAAUUUUGGCAUUCAAAUAGGGGCUGGAAGACUUGAAAGCAGUAGAAAUUUCACCACAGGUGAUAGGAAAGGAUGAUCACGAAAUGAAUAUCUCCUGACUUGCACACCUAGUGAGCAGAGCCAGGAAGGACCUCCUUCACCUUAGCAUUUGGAACAGGCUGCAAAGUUCAUUCUUCCUCAUAGCAGCCCCUGCAUUCAGUUUGGUUUAGUUGUUUUAUGUGGUUUCUAGCCUGAUUUUUUUUUUCAGGGUGCAGCAGAAGUCUCAGGUAGCUGAGAAGUUCAUGGAAUCUUCUUAUUUGCUACACCUUUCACUACUGCUUGUGAUAUAGUGCAGGGUUGGGAUGUGCAGACAUUUCUCAAGUGCACUGUGUACCUACACAGCAUGCUGCAAUUUGGCUACUGAAGUCAAGAGAAACUGGUUUGAACAACUACUGAGUGUAACAUAGGAAGCGCAUUUCAUUUGAUAACAGGAACACAGCUUUUGUGCUAAUAAAAUGCUUUGAAAAUUAGUGUGUGGUCUUUAGUAAUUAGCAUAUACAUUUUAGUUAUCCAUUGGUUCAUAACAAACGGACUAAAUAGGUACCCCACUGAGUCAUUUAUCUAAAUGAAAAGUUUGGUUAAAUUGUAGUUGUAGGCAUUGAUCAAAGCUAAUGGGAAAAAGAGAUUAAGAUGAAAAUCAUGGGAUUAAAUUUUUAAUUAGUUUGCCCCUUGGACCGUUGCUUGGUAUGACAUGGAGAUUGAUUGGCUACUUAUGCCUGCCUGGGAAGAUAUGGCUCUGCUACCAAACCUCUGAACGUAAGAGUGUUUUGCAAAAAAACUGAAUAUUUUAUUCAGUAAUUUUUCACUUUAUUCCUGCUUAACAAGGAAUUGAAAAGGAAGGCAAGGUCUUGGAUCUCAUAGUUCUUGGUAUAGUGAUAGAUAUAAAGUAUGAGAUGGGGGCUUCAGUGGGUUCAUUAAUAAAUAUCUCAAAUUAACAUGUCUAAGUCAAACAUUUUCCCCUUCGCCAAUCAGCAGUUGCAAAAAGUCCUCCAGGAAAAGUCUGGAUGCCAGAAAGCCGUACCUGAGGGAGGCAGAAUUGCAUGGCAGUGGGCUACAUGGGCUCCAGAGUUGGCCAAUGUGUGGCCUCUAACAAGUAUCUUGCCUCCUCUAUGCCUCAGUUUCCUUCUCUGUAAAGUGUGGGUGAUGAUGUUUACUUUUUAGUUGUCAUGAAGGUGAGGGAUGAUGAUGCUUAGCACAGUGUCUGACACUUUACAGCAAGCGCCACGAUCCACUGUUGUCAUCGGGACUUUUGUCAUCCUCAGUGCUGCCACACGUUUGCCCUGGGUCCUUGAGCAAAUUGGCUCUUUUCUGUGGCCCCCUUGUU